GAGUUUGAUCCUGGCUCAGAAUCAACGCUGGCGGCGUGCCUAACACAUGCAAGUCGAACGCGACUGAGGGCUUCGGUCCUCAGUUGAGUGGCGAACGGGUGAGUAACACGUGGGUGAUCUACCUCUGAGUGGGGGAUAACGUUCCGAAAGGAGCGCUAAUACCGCAUGACGUCCUGGGUUUGAAGACCUGGAAACCAAAGUCGGGGACCGCAAGGCCUGACGCUUGGAGAGGAGCCCGCGCCUGAUUAGCUAGUUGGUGGGGUAAUGGCCUACCAAGGCGACGAUCAGUAGCCGGCCUGAGAGGGCGGACGGCCACACUGGGACUGAGACACGGCCCAGACUCCUACGGGAGGCAGCAGUGGGGAAUUGUUCGCAAUGGGCGCAAGCCUGACGACGCAACGCCGCGUGGAGGAUGAAGGUCUUCGGAUUGUAAACUCCUGUUGAUCGGGAAGAAUGGACUCCGGGUUAAUACUCCGGGGUAUUGACGGUACCGAUUGAGGAAGCCACGGCUAACUCUGUGCCAGCAGCCGCGGUAAUACAGAGGUGGCAAGCGUUGUUCGGAAUUACUGGGCGUAAAGGGCGCGUAGGCGGUCGCCUAAGUCGGACGUGAAAUCCCCAAGCUUAACUUGGGAACUGCGUCCGAUACUGGGUGACUUGAGUUCGGGAGAGGAAUGUGGAAUUCCAGGUGUAGCGGUGAAAUGCGUAGAUAUCUGGAGGAACACCGGUGGCGAAAGCGGCAUUCUGGACCGAAACUGACGCUGAGGCGCGAAAGCCAGGGGAGCAAACGGGAUUAGAUACCCCGGUAGUCCUGGCCCUAAACGAUGAGUGCUUGGUGUGCGGGUAUCGAUCCCUGCCG
Molecule: ribosomal RNA, 856 nt
Filed under: uncultured bacterium
Lineage: Bacteria
Description: bacterial SSU rRNA
Rfam family: Bacterial small subunit ribosomal RNA
Source: RNAcentral